This 468-nucleotide ribosomal RNA is filed under the name uncultured bacterium. RNAcentral's name for it is "partial 16S ribosomal RNA". It matches the Rfam family "Bacterial small subunit ribosomal RNA", at positions 28 to 507 of the family's 1533-position model. The record is from RNAcentral.
GACGAACGCUGGCGGCGUGCUUAACACAUGCAAGUCGAACGGGAAGGCCCUGCUUUUGUGGGGUGCUCGAGUGGCGAACGGGUGAGUAACACGUGAGUAACCUGCCCUUGACUUUGGGAUAACUUCAGGAAACUGGGGCUAAUACCGGAUAGGAGCUCCUGCUGCAUGGUGGGGGUUGGAAAGUUUCGGCGGUGGGGGAUGGACUCGCGGCUUAUCAGCUUGUUGGUGGGGUAGUGGCUUACCAAGGCUUUGGCGGGUAGCCGGCGUGAGAGGGUGACCGGCCACAUUGGGACUGAGAUAGGGCCCAGACUCCUACGGGAGGCAGCAGUGGGGAAUAUUGCACAAUGGGAGGAAGCCUGAUGCAGCAACGCCGCGUGCGGGAUGACGGCCUUCGGGUUGUAAACCGCUUUCGCCUGUGACGAAGCGUGAGUGACGGUAAUGGGUAAAGAAGCACCGGCUAACUACGUG